AGUGAACGCUGGCGGCAGGCCUAACACAUGCAAGUCGAACGGCAGCACAGUAAGAGCUUGCUCUUACGGGUGGCGAGUGGCGGACGGGUGAGGAAUACAUCGGAAUCUACUUUUUCGUGGGGGAUAACGUAGGGAAACUUACGCUAAUACCGCAUACGACCUACGGGUGAAAGCAGGGGAUCUUCGGACCUUGCGCGAUUGAAUGAGCCGAUGUCGGAUUAGCUAGUUGGCGGGGUAAAGGCCCACCAAGGCGACGAUCCGUAGCUGGUCUGAGAGGAUGAUCAGCCACACUGGAACUGAGACACGGUCCAGACUCCUACGGGAGGCAGCAGUGGGGAAUAUUGGACAAUGGGCGCAAGCCUGAUCCAGCCAUACCGCGUGGGUGAAGAAGGCCUUCGGGUUGUAAAGCCCUUUUGUUGGGAAAGAAAAGCAGCAGGUUAAUACCCCGCUGUUCUGACGGUACCCAAAGAAUAAGCACGGGCUAACUUCGUG
RNAcentral lists this ribosomal RNA (492 nucleotides) under uncultured bacterium. RNAcentral describes it as "partial 16S ribosomal RNA". It matches the Rfam family "Bacterial small subunit ribosomal RNA", at positions 29 to 507 of the family's 1533-position model. The record is from RNAcentral.